GUCUAGCGGCGGACGGGUGAGUAACGCGUGGGAACGUACCCUUUUCUGCAGGAUAGCCACUGGAAACGGUGAGUAAUACUGCAUACGCCCUUCGGGGGAAAGAUUUAUCGGAGAAGGAUCGGCCCGCGUUAGAUUAGGUAGUUGGUGGGGUAAUGGCCUACCAAGCCUACGAUCUAUAGCUGGUUUGAGAGGAUGAUCAGCCACACUGGGACUGAGACACGGCCCAGACUCCUACGGGAGGCAGCAGUGGGGAAUCUUAGACAAUGGGGGCAACCCUGAUCUAGCCAUGCCGCGUGAGUGAUGAAGGCCUUAGGGUCGUAAAGCUCUUUCGCUGGGGAAGAUAAUGACGGUACCCAGUAAAGAAACCCCGGCUAACUCCGUGCCAGCAGCCGCGGUAAUACGGAGGGGGUUAGCGUUGUUCGGAAUUACUGGGCGUAAAGCGCGCGUAGGCGGAUCAGAAAGUUGGGGGUGAAAUCCCGGGGCUCAACCUCGGAACUGCCUCCAAAACUCCUGGUCUUGAGUUCGAGAGAGGUGAGUGGAACUCCGAGUGUAGAGGUGAAAUUCGUAGAUAUUCGGAAGAACACCAGUGGCGAAGGCGGC
RNAcentral lists this ribosomal RNA (600 nucleotides) under Pelagibaca sp. India-BSP-21. RNAcentral describes it as "bacterial SSU rRNA". It matches the Rfam family "Bacterial small subunit ribosomal RNA", at positions 90 to 725 of the family's 1533-position model. The record is from RNAcentral. Lineage: Bacteria; Pseudomonadati; Pseudomonadota; Alphaproteobacteria; Rhodobacterales; Roseobacteraceae.